RNAcentral lists this unclassified non-coding RNA (272 nucleotides) under Hevea brasiliensis (rubber tree). Lineage: Eukaryota; Viridiplantae; Streptophyta; Magnoliopsida; Malpighiales; Euphorbiaceae. The record is from RNAcentral.
AACCAGCAGCCGCAACAAGAUAGCUGAUAUAGCAUAUAUAAAUCAGAAAAGAUUUGAUGGUAUGAAAAAAUCAGUAAUGUGACUGUAUGACAUAGAGAGAUAUUAAGGCAUACAAAAGAUCAAGCUAUUUCUUUGUCUACCAAAAAUAACUUGUUUAUCAACAGUUAAUCAUAUCACUUGCAAAAUAUAAGACACAUUACACUUAAAAACAGUUUCAUGACUCCUUGAGAAUGGGCAGUGGGAUGUCUUUAGGCUUCCCAGUAAUUCUUUUG